AACGAACGCUGGCGGCAGGCUUAACACAUGCAAGUCGAGCGCAUCCUUCGGGGUGAGCGGCGGACGGGCGAGUAACGCGUGGGAACGUGCCCUCUUCUACGGAAUAGCCUCGGGAAACUGAGAGUAAUGCCGUAUACGCCCGCAAGGGGAAAGAUUUAUCGGAGGAGGAUCGGCCCGCGUUGGAUUAGGUAGUUGGUGGGGUAACGGCCUACCAAGCCGACGAUCCAUAGCUGGUUUGAGAGGAUGAUCAGCCACACUGGGACUGAGACACGGCCCAGACUCCUACGGGAGGCAGCAGUGGGGAAUCUUGGACAAUGGGGGCAACCCUGAUCCAGCCAUGCCGCGUGAUCGAUGAAGGCCUUAGGGUUGUAAAGAUCUUUCAGCUGGGAAGAUAAUGACGGUACCAGCAGAAGAAGCCCCGGCUAACUCCGUG
RNAcentral lists this ribosomal RNA (433 nucleotides) under uncultured bacterium. RNAcentral describes it as "partial 16S ribosomal RNA". It matches the Rfam family "Bacterial small subunit ribosomal RNA", at positions 29 to 507 of the family's 1533-position model. The record is from RNAcentral.